AGGAUGAGACUGCGUCUGAUUAGGUAGUUGGUGGGGUAACGGCCCACCAAGCCCAUCAUCAGUACGGGUUGUGGGAGCAAGAUCCCGGAGAUGGAUUCUGAGACAUGAAUCCAGGCCCUACGGGGCGCAGCAGGCGCGCAAACUUUACAAUGCGAGCAAUCGUGAUAAGGAAACCCUGAGUGCCUGUUGAUGCAGGCUGUUCAUUAGUUUAAAUUGCUAGUGAAGAAAGGGCAGGGCAAGACCGGUGCCAGCCGCCGCGGUAAUACCGGCUGCUCGAGUGAUGGCCACUAUUACUGGGUUUAAAGCGUCCGUAGCUUGAUUGUUAGGUCUCUUGGGAAAUCUUCAGGCUUAACCUUAAGGCGUCUAAGAGAUACCGGCAAUCUUGGGACUGGGAGAGGUAAACCGUACUUCGGGGGUAGGAGUGAAAUCUUGUAAUCCUCGAGGGACGACCUAUGGCGAAGGCAGUUUACCAGAACAGCUUCGACAGUGAGGGACGAAAGCUGGGGGAGCAAACGGGAUUAGAUACCCCGGUAGUCCCAGCCGUAAACAAUGUGCGUUAGGUGUAUCGGCAACCACGCGUUACUGAUGCGCCGCAGAGAAAUCGUGAAACGCACCACCUGGGGAGUAUGGUCGCAAGGCUGAAACUUAAAGGAAUUGGCGGGGGAGCACCACAACAGGUGGAGCCUGCGGUUUAAUUGGAUU
Molecule: ribosomal RNA, 702 nt
Filed under: uncultured archaeon
Lineage: Archaea
Description: bacterial SSU rRNA
Rfam family: Archaeal small subunit ribosomal RNA
Source: RNAcentral